Molecule: ribosomal RNA, 497 nt
Filed under: uncultured bacterium
Lineage: Bacteria
Description: partial 16S ribosomal RNA
Rfam family: Bacterial small subunit ribosomal RNA
Source: RNAcentral
GAUGAACGCUGGCGGCGUGCCUAGUACAUGCAAGUCGAGCGAACGGGCGAGAAGCUUGCUUCUCUGAUGUUAGCGGCGGACGGGUGAGUAACACGUGGAUAACCUACCUAUAAGACUGGGAUAACUUCGGGAAACCGGAGCUAAUACCGGAUGAUAUUUUGAACCGCAUGGUUCAAAAGUGAAAGACGGUCUUGCUGUCACUUAUAGAUGGAUCCGCGCUGCAUUAGCUAGUUGGUAAGGUAACGGCUUACCAAGGCAACGAUGCAUAGCCGACCUGAGAGGGUGAUCGGCCACACUGGAACUGAGACACGGUCCAGACUCCUACGGGAGGCAGCAGUAGGGAAUCUUCCGCAAUGGGCGAAAGCCUGACGGAGCAACGCCGCGUGAGUGAUGAAGGUCUUCGGACCGUAAAACUCUGUUAUUAGGGAAGAACAUAUGUGUAAGUAACUGUGCACAUCUUGACGGUACCUAAUCAGAAAGCCACGGCUAACUACGUG